This 2483-nucleotide ribosomal RNA is filed under the name Herbaspirillum seropedicae SmR1. Its description in RNAcentral is "bacterial LSU rRNA". It matches the Rfam family "Bacterial large subunit ribosomal RNA", at positions 145 to 2674 of the family's 2925-position model. The record is from RNAcentral. Lineage: Bacteria; Pseudomonadati; Pseudomonadota; Betaproteobacteria; Burkholderiales; Oxalobacteraceae.
AGGUCAUCGUUAUCUGAAUACAUAGGGUAACGAAGCGAACGUGGCGAACUGAAACAUCUAAGUAGCUACAGGAAAAGAAAUCAACCGAGAUUCCCAAAGUAGUGGCGAGCGAAAUGGGAUCAGCCUGCAAGAUUUAGCAUCAACGAUAGCAAAACGGAAUGGAAAGUCCGGCCAUAGUGGGUGAUAGCCCCGUAUGCGAAAUCGAUGGUGUGGAACUAGGCUUGCGACAAGUAGGGCGGGACACGUGAAAUCCUGUCUGAACAUGGGGGGACCAUCCUCCAAGGCUAAAUACUCGUAAUCGACCGAUAGUGAACCAGUACCGUGAGGGAAAGGCGAAAAGAACCCCGGAAGGGGAGUGAAAUAGAUCCUGAAACCGUGUGCAUACAAACAGUAGGAGCCUCGAAAGGGGUGACUGCGUACCUUUUGUAUAAUGGGUCAGCGACUUACAUUCAGUGGCAAGCUUAACCGAAUAGGGAAGGCGCAGAGAAAUCGAGUCCGAAUAGGGCGUUCAGUCGCUGGGUGUAGACCCGAAACCAGAUGAUCUAUCCAUGGCCAGGUUGAAGGUGCGGUAACACGCACUGGAGGACCGAACCCACUAAUGUUGAAAAAUUAGGGGAUGAGCUGUGGAUAGGGGUGAAAGGCUAAACAAAUCUGGAAAUAGCUGGUUCUCUCCGAAAACUAUUUAGGUAGUGCCUCAAGUAUCACCAUCGGGGGUAGAGCACUGUUAUGGCUAGGGGGUCAUCGCGACUUACCAAACCAUUGCAAACUCCGAAUACCGAUGAGUGCGAGCUUGGGAGACAGACGCCGGGUGCUAACGUCCGACGUCAAGAGGGAAACAACCCAGACCGCCAGCUAAGGUCCCAAAGAUUGGCUAAGUGGAAAACGAAGUGGGAAGGCUAAAACAGUCAGGAGGUUGGCUUAGAAGCAGCCAUCCUUUAAAGAAAGCGUAAUAGCUCACUGAUCGAGUCGUCCUGCGCGGAAGAUGUAACGGGGCUAAGCCAGUCACCGAAGCUGCGGAUAUCCGUAAGGAUAUGGUAGGAGAGCGUUCUGUAAGCCUGUGAAGGUGUCUUGUAAAGGAUGCUGGAGGUAUCAGAAGUGCGAAUGCUGACAUGAGUAGCGAUAAUGCGGGUGAAAAGCCCGCACGCCGUAAGCCCAAGGUUUCCUGUUCAACGUUCAUCGGAGCAGGGUGAGUCGGCCCCUAAGGCGAGGCAGAGAUGCGUAGCUGAUGGGAAGCAGGUUAAUAUUCCUGCACCGUCGUUAGAUGCGAUGGGGGGACGGAUCGCGGAAGGUUGUCCGGGUGUUGGAAGUCCCGGUUUUUGCAUCGAAGAAGGCUGUUAGGCAAAUCCGGCAGCGUAAUUCAAGGGUGUGAGACGAGCGAACUUGUUCGCGAAGCAAUCGGAAGUGGUUCCAAGAAAAGCCUCUAAGCUUCAGUCUAACGAGACCGUACCGCAAACCGACACAGGUGGGCGAGAUGAGUAUUCUAAGGCGCUUGAGAGAACUCGGGAGAAGGAACUCGGCAAAUUGGUACCGUAACUUCGGGAUAAGGUACGCCCAAGUAGUUUGACUGGCCUGCGCCAGAAGGACAAAAGGGUUGCAAUAAAAUGGUGGCUGCGACUGUUUAAUAAAAACACAGCACUCUGCAAACACGAAAGUGGACGUAUAGGGUGUGACGCCUGCCCGGUGCUGGAAGAUUAAAUGAUGGGGUGCAAGCUCUUGAUUGAAGUCCCAGUAAACGGCGGCCGUAACUAUAACGGUCCUAAGGUAGCGAAAUUCCUUGUCGGGUAAGUUCCGACCUGCACGAAUGGCGUAACGAUGGCCACACUGUCUCCUCCCGAGACUCAGCGAAGUUGAAAUGUUUGUGAUGAUGAUGCAAUCUACCCGCGGCUAGACGGAAAGACCCCAUGAACCUUUACUGUAGCUUUGCAUUGGACUUUGAACCAAUCUGUGUAGGAUAGGUGGGAGGCUUUGAAGCAGGAACGCUAGUUUCUGUGGAGCCGACCUUGAAAUACCACCCUGGUUUGUUUGAGGUUCUAACCUUGGUCCGUUAUCCGGAUCGGGGACAGUGCAUGGUAGGCAGUUUGACUGGGGCGGUCUCCUCCCAAAGUGUAACGGAGGAGUUCGAAGGUACGCUAGGUACGGUCGGACAUCGUGCUAAUAGUGCAAUGGCAUAAGCGUGCUUAACUGCGAGACUGACAAGUCGAGCAGGUACGAAAGUAGGACAUAGUGAUCCGGUGGUUCUGUAUGGAAGGGCCAUCGCUCAACGGAUAAAAGGUACUCUGGGGAUAACAGGCUGAUUCCUCCCAAGAGUUCAUAUCGACGGGGGAGUUUGGCACCUCGAUGUCGGCUCAUCACAUCCUGGGGCUGUAGCCGGUCCCAAGGGUAUGGCUGUUCGCCAUUUAAAGUGGUACGUGAGCUGGGUUUAAAACGUCGUGAGACAGUUUGGUCCCUAUCUGCCGUGGGCGUUGGAAGUUUGAAGGGGGCUG